UGGGACACCCGCUCCUGCGCGUGGGUGUAAAACCACGGAUCGCGAGCGCGGGAGAAGCGCUGGAUGCGUCCGCCAGGGCCGGUGAUGGCAUCCGUCAGCCGGCCGGAGACAACCACGCCCAUCUCGGCGCUGAAAAGGAUGGCGUCGACAUAAUCAACCUCGCCCGGCGGGCGGGCGGCCUGGGACCGCACCGUUUCAACCGCCUCGUGCACACUGGACACGGGCCGGUAGGAAACCUCGACGAAGGCCCGCGCCUCGAUGAGACGCAGCUCGAGCAGCGUGGUGAUGCCCAGCGAGCCCAUCGAGCCCGCGAGACCAUGGAAGAGGUCCUCUGCCAUCCCAUCCCCGUCCGCAGCACC
Molecule: small RNA, 359 nt
Filed under: Histoplasma capsulatum
Lineage: Eukaryota; Fungi; Ascomycota; Eurotiomycetes; Onygenales; Ajellomycetaceae
Also listed under: 1 other name
Description: hypothetical RNA
Source: RNAcentral